UGUAGUGUCACCUCUUGCACUGAGAUGCAGUGCCUUAGACCGCUGUGCCACUCGGGAGCAAAAAACAAACAUAUUUUUGUUAAAUCCUGCCUACUCGAAUGACCCUGGUGCCAUGGCCCGAACUUGCAAGCUAGCUAACUUUACAGCCACCAGAAACAAACACAGAGCAGACAAAGUCAACAAGCUAGAUAACGUGUUUGCAGAUAAACUGCCCUUGUAGCAGGGACAAAAGAAACAAGUAUCGUUCUCCGUUCUGAAUCAACUCGAUCCCCAAAAGAUAAAAAGAAGCAAGAAAAAUAUGGCUCAUGCCCAAGCCGGAUAAACAUUGGAAUGAAUUUUGAAAGGUGGAGGAGUGAUACCAAAAUGGCCACCAUUCUCAUGGACUGGUAGGUAAGUGUUUGGUAGCGUUUUUAGCCUGCUAGCUAGUUUCGCUGCUAACCUUAGUGUGUUCAAUGUUCAUGCUAGCUAAUAUGGCUACUUAGCUAGCUAGCUAACAUCUUCUGUAUUCUGACUGUUUUGUACUCAAAGGAAUCUAACAAUUGCAUCAUGUAGCUACAGUGCAUGAACCCCACAAGAUGCCAAAUGCCUUUCUUUUAACUAGCUAAUGUUAGCUGGCUAUAGCUAGAUAUGCAGAUUGUUGACAUGAUAAUGUUUGUGAGUUGGUGGUUGACAGCAUUUCUGGCACAGGACCACCACUAGCUAUUCUCAGGGAGAUACUGGUGAAGAAAAUCUGAUUUAGAGGGAACCGGAGGCUGUACAAGUUGUGGUUGUGCAAACCCCAACACAGGAGGAGAGGAGAACUUGGACAUAGAUGAUGACGAACAUCCUAACCCUUCAACUACAUUACAUGCGUUGCCAUGGCUUUCCCACCUUUCACCCCCUACUAGUCCAAGCCAUCCUUUGCAUUAUAUGCCAAGAGUGUGCAAAGCUGUCAUCAAGGCUACUUUGAAGAAUCUCAAAUAUAAAUCAUAUUUUGAUUUGCUUAACACUUUUUUGGUUACUACGUGAUUCCAUAUGUGUAAUUUCAUAGUUUUGAUGUAUUCACUAUUAUUCUACAAUGUAGAAAAUUGUAAAAAUAAAGAAAACCCUGGAAUGAGUAGGAGUGUCCAAACUUUUGACUGGUAGUGUACUUUUAUUUAUAUAUAUAUAUAUAUAUAUAUAUAUAUAUAUAGUGCAUCUAUUUCCUUAUAUGAAC
Long non-coding RNA from Oncorhynchus tshawytscha (Chinook salmon), 1195 nucleotides. The record is from Ensembl. NCBI's taxonomy places the organism in Eukaryota, Metazoa, Chordata, Actinopteri, Salmoniformes, Salmonidae.